GAUGAACGCUAGCGGCAGGCUUAAUACAUGCAAGUCGUGGGGCAGCAGGACUGUAGCAAUACAGUUGCUGGCGACCGGCAAACGGGUGCGGAACACGUACGCAGCUUACCCUGAACUGGGGGAUAGCCCGGGGAAACCCGGAUUAAUACCCCGUAAUAUAAUGGAGUGGCAUCACUUUAUUAUUAAAGCUCCGGCGGUUCGGGAUGGGCGUGCGGCUGAUUAGGUAGUUGGUUGAGGUAACGGCUCACCAAGCCUACGAUCAGUAACUGGUGUGAGAGCACGACCAGUCACACGGGCACUGAGACACGGGCCCGACUCCUACGGGAGGCAGCAGUAAGGAAGAUUGGGCAAUGGAGGCAACUCUGACCCAGCCAUGCCGCGUGGAGGAUGAAGGCCCUCUGGGUUGUAAACUUCUUUUAUAGGAGACGAAACCUGUGUAUUCUUACGCAGUUGACGGUACCCUAGGAAUAAGCACCGGCUAACUCCGUG
This 489-nucleotide ribosomal RNA is filed under the name uncultured bacterium. RNAcentral's name for it is "partial 16S ribosomal RNA". It matches the Rfam family "Bacterial small subunit ribosomal RNA", at positions 28 to 507 of the family's 1533-position model. The record is from RNAcentral.